AACGAACGCUGGCGGCAUGCCUAACACAUGCAAGUCGAACGAGACCUUCGGGUCUAGUGGCGCACGGGUGCGUAACGCGUGGGAACCUGCCCUUAGGUUCGGAAUAACUCCCCGAAAGGGGUGCUAAUACCGGAUAAUGUCUUCGAACAAAGGAUUUAUCGCCUUUGGAUGGGCCCGCGUUGGAUUAGCUAGUUGGUAGGGUAAAAGCCUACCAAGGCGACGAUCCAUAGCUGGUCUGAGAGGAUGAUCAGCCACACUGGGACUGAGACACGGCCCAGACUCCUACGGGAGGCAGCAGUGGGGAAUAUUGGACAAUGGGCGAAAGCCUGAUCCAGCAAUGCCGCGUGAGUGAUGAAGGCCUUAGGGUUGUAAAGCUCUUUUACCCGGGAUGAUAAUGACGGUACCGGGAGAAUAAGCUCCGGCUAACUCCGUG
This 433-nucleotide ribosomal RNA is filed under the name uncultured bacterium. Its description in RNAcentral is "partial 16S ribosomal RNA". It matches the Rfam family "Bacterial small subunit ribosomal RNA", at positions 29 to 507 of the family's 1533-position model. The record is from RNAcentral.